Molecule: long non-coding RNA, 1842 nt
Organism: Mobula hypostoma (lesser devil ray)
Lineage: Eukaryota; Metazoa; Chordata; Chondrichthyes; Myliobatiformes; Myliobatidae
Exons: 4
Source: RefSeq, a predicted model, not a curated record
UCGAGCCACUUAUUUCCUCCAGCAGAUUGGGUGUUGCUCCAGAUUCCAUCAUCGGCAGUCUCUUGCGCCUCAACUUACAGCUGGCUUGGCUGGAGAGGGAAGCUUUAAAUAACUUCAAUGGCUUCUGAAUAUUCUGAAAGCAAUUUUCUGAAGGUUUGGCAUGACAUCUAAAGCUUUGAUAAACUUCUGCCGGUAUGUGGUGGAGAGUAUGUUGACUGACAGCAUCAUGACCUGGUUACCAGAGACUGGGGUGUGUUACGUUAAUGGAAGGAUGGCGAAAGCUGCCAACUGAUUUAUGGUAACCCAGGAAUCUGCCAAAGGCCAACUGCUCAUCAUCAUGCAACACGGAAAGAGGACCUUCAGGCCAACAGGUCCAUGCCAACCAAGAUUCCUACCUAAGCUACAAUGCCAUAGCGGCUAUUCGGACCAUUGAGCCUGCUCAAUCAUGGCUGAUUUAUUUUCUGUCUCAGCAUCAUUCUCCUGCCUUCUCCCCAGAACCUUAGAAACCCUUACUGAAGUAGUCCCAAUUGCCCACGUUUGGCUGAUCUGACUAUAAGCUGAACUCUACAUUCCUGUCAACUUGGUAAUCCUUUGCUUAUGAAGAAUCUGUUUACCUCUGCCUUAAAGUAUUCAAAUAUUCGGCUUUCUCUGCUCUGUGGAAGAGAGCCCUGAAGAUUCGUGAUCAUGUGAGAGAAAAGAAAUUACCUAACCUUGCCAAAAAUGAAUGAUUCAUUACUUUUAAGCAUUUGCCCCUGGUCCUGGAUUCUCCCACAAGGGAAAGGAUUCCCUCCACAACAUCUUAUCAAAACCCCUUAGGAUCCAUCAAGUUGAUGGCAUGGUAGUAUAGCGGUUAACGUAAAUGCUAUUACAGCAGCAGUGAUUACUGAUUGGGAUUCAAUUCCCGCUGCUGCCUGUACAAUCUUCCCAUGACCACACGAAUGCUGCAGUUUUCCCCCACUUUCUAAAGUUGUUGGCACCAAAAGCAUGGCAACCUUUGGCAGGCUUUCCCCUCAUCCCAUAACUGGACUGUGUUGGCCGAUGAGGCAAAAUGACACAUUUUGCUGUAUGCUUUGAUGUACAUUUGUCAAAUAAAGCUGAUAAGCCCCCUCUUAUUUCUCCAAACUCUAGUGGAUCCCAGUCAUUUCUUAGCACAGCAAUCUCAGCCACUCAGGCACUGAAAGUGGAUUUGUGCUUGUAUGGUACAAGGAACAGAAGACAAAUGUGGACUGCUUCUAAACAAAGCUAUGGCUGCUCUGUGCACGGGGCUGCAUAUCAAAGGGAGGCUUCUCCAAAAGAGGUAGAAAUCAGGAACUUUACUGGGAAUCGUCCAACCAAGAGGGACAUGGUCAGGCUCAAAAUGACGUCCCACAUGUUUUUCUAUUUUUAUGGAACUUAGGUUUUAGCGGCAGUUUUGACAACACUUCCAUAAAAGGGAUUGUUGUCAAGUUGUCUCUGACCUCUGACCUUGAUGCUAAUUAGCACUAAUUGUUGUCUUUAUCCACAGUAAUCUAGACAUAGGAACAGUAAGGAAUAUUUUGUCUUAUAUGGCCACAUUAACCUGAUACAAGCAGUAAUAUUUACCAUAGAUUAACCAGCUGGUUACUCUGAGGAUUACAUAACACAAUGUAGAGUCAGGAGUGCAAUGUAAUAAGUGAUUUGACAUUAGUUUAUAUCAAAAUCUGUGCUUAACUUUUACUGCAAAAGAUUGUUUAAACUAUUCAGAGCUGACAGAUCUCACUUGAGAGGUAUUUUGUGUGUAUUUCAUCAGUGACUCGUUGCUGUAUCAUCUUUCUUGACCCUGCCCUUUUGAAUGUGCCUGAAUGUAUUUAUAUGUGUACGGUA